GACGAACGCUGGCGGCGUGCUUAACACAUGCAAGUCGAACGGAAAGGCCCUGCUUGCAGGGUACUCGAGUGGCGAACGGGUGAGUAACACGUGGGUGAUCUGCCCUGCACUUCGGGAUAAGCCUGGGAAACUGGGUCUAAUACCGGAUAGGAGCCAUUUUUAGUGUGAUGGUUGGAAAGUUUUUUCGGUGCAGGAUGAGCUCGCGGCCUAUCAGCGCGUUGGUGGGGUAAUGGCCUACCAAGGCGGCGUCGGGUAGCCGGCCUGAGGGGGUGGACGGCCACAUUGGGACUGAGAUACGGCCCAGACUCCUACGGGAGGCCGCAGUGGGGAAUAUUGCCCAAUGGGCGCCAGCCUGAUGCAGCGACGCCGCGUGGGGGAGGACGGCCUUCGGGUUGUAAACGCCUUUCGCUAGGGACGAAGCUUUUUGUGACGGUACCUAGAUAAGAAGCACCGGCUAACUACGUG
Molecule: ribosomal RNA, 465 nt
Filed under: uncultured bacterium
Lineage: Bacteria
Description: partial 16S ribosomal RNA
Rfam family: Bacterial small subunit ribosomal RNA
Source: RNAcentral